RNAcentral lists this long non-coding RNA (249 nucleotides) under Capsicum annuum. Its description in RNAcentral is "long non-coding RNA (CANN_LNC016568)". The record is from RNAcentral. Lineage: Eukaryota; Viridiplantae; Streptophyta; Magnoliopsida; Solanales; Solanaceae.
UCUCCUUCAGCAUCUCAAGGUGCAAAUGACCAACACCAAUAUCAACAAACUCAUCAUGCAUUUCAUUCCACUCUAUGUUUGGGUCCCACAUUGCGUUAAUUUUUACAUUCGAGAUUUUACUUGGCGGAUAUAUGCUCAAUGGUGGAAUAUAGCUUCUCUAAAUAUACUUUUGACUAUACUUUUCAAGCCAUUUCUAGAAUUAGUAUGGCAUUAGGCCAAAUUUUUUAUAGUGAUUUAAUUCUAGUUUCA